RNAcentral lists this transfer-messenger RNA (343 nucleotides) under Phycisphaerales bacterium. It matches the Rfam family "transfer-messenger RNA". Rfam says of the family: Bacterial tmRNA, also known as 10Sa RNA or SsrA, is named for its dual tRNA and mRNA-like properties. Its role is to liberate the mRNA from a stalled ribosome. Lineage: Bacteria; Pseudomonadati; Planctomycetota; Phycisphaerae; Phycisphaerales. The record is from RNAcentral.
GGGGCCGACUGGCAUCGACCGGGCGGGGAACGUAUGUCGUUGCGUGUCGCGGCGCAUCCAACCGCGUUAUCAAGGGUGCAACACUUUAACUGCCAACACGCAGUACGCACUCGCGGCUUGACCGCGACGUUCAGUGACUGACGUCCGAUAGGACACUGAACGACGCAUCGGACUGGCUUCAAUGGGCUGACAGGCCUCGGCGAAGUGAGACAUUUGUCUGUCAUGGCCCGCAGGAAGGUCGUUGCUCACCGUCCUGCGGGGCGAGAGUAAACAGCAACUACACACGUAGACGCGGCACACCGACCGUCACGGCACGGGGGUUCGAAUCCCCCCGGCUCCAUUA